AGUAAAAUAUUUUAAAAAAAAAGUUAAGUUUGCAUCUUAAAAUUAGAGUGGUCUCUUUUUACUG
This 64-nucleotide transfer RNA is filed under the name Panopea globosa. RNAcentral's name for it is "tRNA-Ala". The record is from RNAcentral. Lineage: Eukaryota; Metazoa; Mollusca; Bivalvia; Adapedonta; Hiatellidae.